RNAcentral lists this ribosomal RNA (253 nucleotides) under uncultured bacterium. Its description in RNAcentral is "partial 16S ribosomal RNA". It matches the Rfam family "Bacterial small subunit ribosomal RNA", at positions 524 to 776 of the family's 1533-position model. The record is from RNAcentral.
GACGAAGGAUGCAAGCGUUAUCCGGAUUCAUUGGGUUUAAAGGGAGCGUAGGUGGCCUUAUAAGUCAGUGGUGAAAUCUCUGGGCUUAACCCAGAAAUUGCCAUUGAUACUGUAGGGCUUGAGUAUAGAUGCCGUUGGCAGAAUAUGACAUGUAGUGGUGAAAUACAUAGAGAUGUCAUAGAACACCGAUUGCGAAGGCAGCUAACGAAACUAUAACUGACACUGAGGCUCGAAAGUGUGGGGAUCAAACAGG